GAACGCACCUUGCGCUCCUUGGUAUUCCGAGGAGCAUGCCUGUUUGAGUGUCAUGAAAUUCUCAACUACUUUUUUACCAUUUUAUGUGUUAGGGGUGAGGUUGGAGUUGGAGGAUAAUUGCUGGCGCAACUCUUGUCUAAGGUUGCUUGUUGGCUCCUCUUGAAUGGAUGAGCUUUUCUAAUGGAUCAUAGCUCAGUAACACUAAUGUGAUAAUUAUCUACGUUAGAUGUGAAAACUAUGAGUAGAGUGGAAGCUCCUAUAGAAAAGAAGAUAAUAUGUCUUGGGUGAUAACAAACCCUUGAACUUUGACAAAUCUGACCUCAAAUCAGGUAGGACUACCCGCUGAACUUAAG
Molecule: unclassified non-coding RNA, 353 nt
Filed under: uncultured Pseudotomentella
Lineage: Eukaryota; Fungi; Basidiomycota; Agaricomycetes; Thelephorales; Thelephoraceae
Description: sequence contains 5.8S rRNA gene
Rfam family: 5.8S ribosomal RNA (bases 1-53)
Source: RNAcentral